RNAcentral lists this ribosomal RNA (500 nucleotides) under Bacillus sp. Xyl1. Its description in RNAcentral is "bacterial SSU rRNA". It matches the Rfam family "Bacterial small subunit ribosomal RNA", at positions 627 to 1114 of the family's 1533-position model. The record is from RNAcentral. Lineage: Bacteria; Bacillati; Bacillota; Bacilli; Caryophanales; Bacillaceae.
UGUAAACUGGGGGACUUGAGUGCAGAAGAAGAAGAGUGGAAAUUCCCACGGGUAGCGGUGCAAAUUGCGUUAGAGAUGUGGAGGAACACCCAGUGGGGGAAGGGGACUCUUUGGUUCUGUAUCUGACGCUGAGUCGCGAAAGCGUGGGGAGCAAACAGAAUUAGAUACCCUGGUAGUCCACGCCGUAAACGAUGAGUGUUAAGUGUUAGAGGGUUUCCGCCCUUUAGUGCUGCAGCAAACCCAUUAAGCACUCCCCCUGGGGAGUCCGGCCCCAAGGCUGAAACUCAAAGGAAUUGACGGGGGCCCGCCCAAGCGGUGGAGCAUGUGGUUUAAUUGGAAGCAACGCGAAGAACCUUACCAGUUCUUGCCAUCUUCUGCCAUUCCUAGAGAUAGGACGUUCCCCUUCGGGGGCCAGAGUGCCAGGUGGUCCAUGGUGGUGUUCAGCUCGUUUCGUGAAAUGUUGGGUUAAGUCCCCCACCGACCCCAACCCUUGUUUUUAG